GCAAGUCUAAACUUGAUAUAAAUGGUAAACUUGUCCCUCAAAUCUGAUUGGUUGAUUGAAAUGUUGUUCCAGGAUCAACAAAGAUGUUGAUCCAGGAACAUGUUGUACUUGGUGCAAAUCACAUUCACCAUGUUUACAUGUGCAACAAUAAUGUGUUUAUUUCCAAUAAGCAAGGACUUAAUCGCAUAAAUUUAAUUUGACAUGAGCAAAACUCACUCCCAUUCACAAGUUUUCAUUUUUCUGAUUAUUCUCUAAGAAUUGUGGUCAUUUUACCGCCAUUAGCUGUUUACAUACCCCAUGGCGUGCAGUGCAGUGCUGUUCUGAAAUGAGUAUGUAUUUGAUGUAUCUUUUAAUUAUAGAAAGUUCAUGAAGACAGAAAAAACAUCAGCUCAUUUUAUCCAAAGGCAAAGUGAGAAGGAGGGAAAAACAACGAGGAAGAUGAUAGAACCGAGAGAUGCUGACAGAGGGAAUGAGACUGCCGAGGUGACGAAGAACUGAAGAGGUGAUGGGGAGGAGGAGGAGGCGUCAAACAGAAGCGUCAAGAUUAGAACCGUGAGAAGGAGAAAAGUUUUGAACGAAAGGUCAUUUGUGGGGUUUCAAGCUCUGCAGUUACGUGUUGGCUGGAGGACGCAAGUCAAAAGGUCAGCCAAUUUACCUGUUGUCAUGGCAGCACAGGUUUUAACCGCGGCGCUGGACGAGAGGCAGACACUACAGGCAUGGAAGGUCGGAGGUCAUUGAUACAGACGCGGCUGCGACAGCGACGCUCGCGGCCAAGCACACGUCAAGAUUGUGGCUGCGCUCUGUAGUGAGUUUUUUC
Megalobrama amblycephala (Wuchang bream) is the source of this 817-nucleotide long non-coding RNA. RefSeq lists it as uncharacterized. The record is from RefSeq and is a predicted model, not a curated record. The transcript is spliced from 3 exons. NCBI's taxonomy places the organism in Eukaryota, Metazoa, Chordata, Actinopteri, Cypriniformes, Xenocyprididae.